RNAcentral lists this transfer RNA (64 nucleotides) under Dastarcus helophoroides. RNAcentral's name for it is "tRNA-Pro". The record is from RNAcentral. Lineage: Eukaryota; Metazoa; Arthropoda; Insecta; Coleoptera; Bothrideridae.
CAGAGAAUAGUUUAUAUAAAAUAUUAAUUUUGGAGAUUAAUGAAGAGAUUUUUCUUUUCUCUGA